UUUUUUGUUCGUGUCCUCGAUUUUAAGUAGUGAGGUUUUACUUUGUGGGUUAGAUAAAUUCUUUAUACCAGUUGAUGGUGCCCUUAAAACUCUCCCAUCUUUCAAUCUCAGCCGUAAUAACUCAAGAAUUACGGCUAAUCGACCAACGGUUUUCAGCUCCUCCCCGCAUUUCUCACAGUCGAUCGUUUCUCCUCCUAUGUUCAAUCGGUUUUCAGGUUCCUUCCAAGACAUGGUAGUUCUCCUUCAAUCAUCACGAUACGGAACCUUCUUAGUCGGUAACUGCCCAAACCACGACCUAGAAAUCGGGCUUAUAUAAAUAUAUAAUGAUCCGUCUAUGUUUAAUGGUUCUAUGUUUCAAUCAAUGUAUUGAAUUGCUUCAUUUGAUGUUAACAAUUAUGGAUUCAAGUUCAGCUAAAAAUAGUUCACCUAAGGUAAAUUUAUCGACUUCUACUUAAUUUUUCAAUGUUUCAAUGAGUUUCAUCAAUUGAUUCCUUUUGUGAACAAUUAUCGAUAUACAAUUUCGUCUCAAAUAGUCUUCAACUAAGGUAAAAUCUUUACAAUUAGUUAAUUUUAUGUUUUACAUUCGUAGUUUUUUACCAUCCGACUUCGAUUUGUACUUCAUUUCAUCUUCAAUUUCGUUGUAUAAUCGACUUUAAUGUUCAUUUAUGUUUGUAUAAUCGACAAUCUUAUUGCUUUGAUCUGUAUCGUACUCAAUUUCAGGUUUCUUAAAUUCUUAAUGUAUACCGAUUAAAUUGGUUUGUUUGGGCUCUUUGGCUUUCAAUAAGGUUAACCCUCCCUUUCUUUGUCCCGAUUCCAAUUUAUGUAAAUGUUUGGGCUAUCUAAGAUGAUUAUGCUAAUUUCUUUUUUAUUACUUUAUUAUAAAUAAAUAAUUUAUUGCAUGAUACAGAGUGAUAAAUUUUUUUUGGAACUGCAGUUCCAAAUUUACUGCUUCAGCACAAUCCUUUAGCUAAUAAUCACCACCCUGUAAUGUAUAGUGAAGCAUUUGGUUUACAUUUUUGCAGGACCUGAUUAUUUAACAACUAGCAGAAGGAUAAUCUGCAAACCACAGGAAGAGGUUUGAUGUCUAAGAAUGAUGAUACUGAAGAUUUGAUGCUUGAACAUGAAUUAUAUUUAAUCACUCUACAAUCCCGUCUUAUAAAACUCCACAUACCUCAAAAUUGUCUCAAAAUUACAACUGUUCAAUAUUUUUCUUAUUCUUGUCAAUAUUUUCCAGUAAUCAAAUGAACCUAGCAUUUAAUUAUCUUUAUUCAACCUCCUGAAACUUUAUAUGUUUUGUUCGCUAAUAUCCAUUUUCAACAAUUUCAUUUCUUUAAGCAUUUAAAUUUAUAAAGUUGAAGUCCCAUAGAUUGGGCACAACUUUUUCCUAACCCGAUAUGUUGCUCCAAUUAGUACUUUGUGAUGUUUCAAAUGAAAAUUUUCAAUGAUGGGGACUUCAUGGAAAGUAAAAGAAAAUAAAAAAG
This 1481-nucleotide long non-coding RNA is filed under the name Lactuca sativa (garden lettuce). Its description in RNAcentral is "long non-coding RNA (LSAT_LNC003279)". The record is from RNAcentral. Lineage: Eukaryota; Viridiplantae; Streptophyta; Magnoliopsida; Asterales; Asteraceae.